UAGGGAAUCUUCCACAAUGGGUGCAAACCUGAUGGAGCAAUGCCGCGUGAGUGAAGAAGGUCUUCGGAUCGUAAAGCUCUGUUGUUAGAGAAGAACACGUGCUAGGUAACUACUAGCACCUGAC
Molecule: ribosomal RNA, 124 nt
Filed under: uncultured bacterium
Lineage: Bacteria
Description: partial 16S ribosomal RNA
Rfam family: Bacterial small subunit ribosomal RNA
Source: RNAcentral